UACGAAGGGGGCUAGCGUUGUUCGGAUUUACUGGGCGUAAAGCGCACGUAGGCGGAUUGGUAAGUUAGGGGUGAAAUCCCGCAGCUCAACUGCGGAACUGCCUUUAAUACUGCCAAUCUAGAGACCGAGAGAGGUAAGUGGAACUCCUAGUGUAGAGGUGGAAUUCGUAGAUAUUAGGAAGAACACCAGUGGCGAAGGCGGCUUACUGGCUCGGAACUGACGCUGAGGUGCGAAAGCGUGGGGAGCAAAC
RNAcentral lists this ribosomal RNA (250 nucleotides) under uncultured bacterium. RNAcentral's name for it is "partial 16S ribosomal RNA". It matches the Rfam family "Bacterial small subunit ribosomal RNA", at positions 524 to 773 of the family's 1533-position model. The record is from RNAcentral.